This is a long non-coding RNA of Gasterosteus aculeatus aculeatus (three-spined stickleback), 1403 nucleotides long. NCBI's taxonomy places the organism in Eukaryota, Metazoa, Chordata, Actinopteri, Perciformes, Gasterosteidae. The record is from Ensembl.
AGACGAUGUCGCUGACAAUCCUUUUGUCACCAACUGAUAAAAAAAUCCUUAAAAAUAAAGUUUAUUAAUUUAUUAAUUAACGUCUGCAUCCUGGAGCCGUGAAACCAAACUUAGCAGGUAGGACUAUGGGGACAAACCAACAGUAGGUCUGUGUGGCGCAGCUCAAUGCCGGUGAGCUCAUACUGCAGCAACAAAGGGAAGGGGCGGGCGAGAGAGGGUCGUAGAAAGUGAAUGGAGAGAGAGGAGAGAAAAAGUAGGAGGACGAGAACGGUAGACGGGAAUGGGGAGUGAAAAGAACCGAGCGAAGCUUUGAGGUGGGAGGGAAACACUGAAAGGACGGAAGACAAAUAAAAGGGAUGUGAUCACAGAAAAGAAAGUGUGAGGCAGGAGAGAGGAGGAGGAAAAUGGAGGCAGGAGAAGGACACAAGCGAGAGAAUGAAAAAAGGAGACAUCAAAGUGAAAGGAGUACCGUAAUAUUGAGAAAAGGUAAGAAGGAUGUAGGAAAGUAAAGAAAGGGAGGGUAAGAAACAUUGAGGGGGAACCAGAAUGGAAUGAAGAUCACAUGGCCAAUGUGGUGCCAAUUUGAGUUGCUCGCCCUCCUUCGUUUGAUCCCUCUCUGUCCGUCUCCACGGCGAUUAACGGCCGGGAGAGUUGUCACGGGAACGGCCGAGAGGAGGAAUAACGAGGAGGAGGGACGUCGUCUGGACCAAGUAGAGCAGAGAAAGAGAGAAAGAGAGAGAGAGAGAGAGAGAGAGGGGAAGACCCCAAACCACAGCAGCACAUAAUUAAAAUGGCUCCUCGCACACACAUUUCAACAAAUCCAAUAAUGAACAGCCUCUCCCUUCCUCCACAGAGACCCACGGUUCACCAGUUCCCUCAAACCACUCACUAUGUGACGCUGUCUGUCAUUAAGAGUCUGCAACAAGUGGCUGCAUAGCGGGGCGCGGCCACUACGGACUCCAGCGAGGCCUCCACGGGUCACGUGCUUCACGGGCCAACACCCGGUACUUUGACCGGAUAAUGGUUACUCUCACCUGCCAGGAUGGCUUUGUGCGCCUGCAGCUUCUGUCCAGCGACACACAGCGAGCAGCCGGUGAGUCUGGAGUUUUCCCACAGAUCUUCUCUCCUCCUCGGCCGGCCCGCCGCUCAGGAACCUUCACCGGGUCCGUUGGGUUCUGGCCUGAGAGGUUCACGGAGUCCUGAGAACAUACACACUUAUUGUCUCAGCCAGGAGGAUUGUGCGCUGCUCCUCUAUGAGUCCAUGAGUGAGCGUGCCCUUCCGUGCUUACCCAGCGUUCUGCUGCAUCAUUUUUUGGGAUGCUGCACGUCCAUGUUGGCAUUAACUCCCGCUUUCUAAAAACACCUUUUAUUGCCUGCAUCGUACUGUCAAUAGCUGCCUGCGG